GAUGAACGCUGGCGGCGUGCCUAAUACAUGCCAGUCGAGCGAACGGACGAGAAGCUUGCUUCUCUGAUGUUAGCGGCGGACGGGUGAGUAACACGUGGAUAACCUACCUAUAAGACUAGGAUAACUUCGGGAAACCGGAGCUAAUACCGGAUGAUAUUUUGAACCGCAUGGUUCAAAAGUGAAAGACGGUCUUGCUGUCACUUAUAGAUGGAUCCGCGCUGCAUUAGCUAGUUGGUAAGGUAACGGCUUACCAAGGCAACGAUGCAUAGCCGACCUGAGAGGGUGAUCGGCCACACUGGAACUGAGACACGGUCCAGACUCCUACGGGAGGCAGCAGUAGGGAAUCUUCCGCAAUGGGCGAAAGCCUGACGGAGCAACGCCGCGUGAGUGAUGAAGGUCUUCGCAUCGUAAAACUCUGUUAUUAGGGAAGAACAUAUGUGUAAGUAACUGUGCACAUCUUGACGGUACCUAAUCAGAAAGCCACGGCUAACUACGUG
RNAcentral lists this ribosomal RNA (497 nucleotides) under uncultured bacterium. Its description in RNAcentral is "partial 16S ribosomal RNA". It matches the Rfam family "Bacterial small subunit ribosomal RNA", at positions 28 to 507 of the family's 1533-position model. The record is from RNAcentral.